AUGUUGAUGCUGUUUGCUCUAACACAAACAGAGUUACUUUCUAUUUUUGAUUGUUUUAAUCUAAUUCAGCAUGUUAAUUUUCCUACUCAUACCCGUGGUCAUACCCUUGAUUUGAUUUGUACAUCAAGGGCCAAUAUCUCUUCCAUCACCUCUACUGACACUGGUAUUUCUGAUCACAAAUUUCUUGAUUUUAGCUUCAGCCUGCCUAUGCAUAAGAAUUGUUCUACAACUGUCAUAUCUUACCGCAAUCUCAAAGCUGUUGAUACUGCAUUAUUUUGUACCUCCGUUUCCUCUUCUAAUCUCUCUGAUGUCUUUGAUAUCUCCUCACCCUCACUGAUACUAUCCAACUAUAACUCCAUAAUCUCGGAUAUCUUAGAUAAGCAUGCUCCUGUCAAGACCAGAAGUGUCCCUUCCACACAUUCGUCUCCUUGGUACACUCCUGAGCUCCGUAUCUUAAAGGCCACUGGCAGACGGCUUGAGCGUUACUAUAGGAAAACUGGCCUGACUGUUCACCAUUUGGCAUUCAUCGAACAUAUCAAGAUUUAUAAAUCGGCCCUGAGUUUGGCUCGUUCCAGUCUUGUAUCUGCUACAAUUAAUAAAUCAAGCAACAGGCCAAAAGCAUUAUUCAACACAAUAAAUAAACUUACCAAACCUCCAUCUCAUGUUGCUCUAGAUUCUGAUGAACUUUGCACUUCAUUCUUGGCUCACAUGCUCGAAAAGACUGAUGCCGUAAACCAGUGCCUCUUUAAUGAUGCCAGUAACAUUAGUCAUCUGCCGAAUCAACCUUGUCAAUCCCUGCCUUUUUUCUCUCUGUCUACUCCUUCUUCUGUCUCUGAGUUAAUCUUGAAAUCCAACCCUUCAUCUUGUCAUCUUGACCCUGCUCCUACUACUCUACUGAAACUUUGCCAUUCAGUUAUUUCUGCACCUAUCUCUCACUUCAUCAAUGCUUCUCUUACCUCUGCUUCAUUUCCUCUGUCACUCAAAAAUGCAGCUGUUACCCCUGUUCUCAAGAAACCCAACCUUGAUCCCUCAGUUUUAUCUAAUUAUGUCCCAUUUCAAAUCUCCCCUUCAUAG
This 1074-nucleotide long non-coding RNA is filed under the name Carassius auratus (goldfish). RNAcentral's name for it is "lncRNA (ENSCARG00000022074.1)". The record is from RNAcentral. Lineage: Eukaryota; Metazoa; Chordata; Actinopteri; Cypriniformes; Cyprinidae.